UGAUUCAUCAGUGAGAAUUACCCUAACGGAAUGUGACGAUAUACUGACAAGAUUACUAGAAAAAUAUCCUGAGGAAUACAAAUUGUACGAAUUGUCUUCAAUUGCAGUUGCUGUUGUAUUUCCAAUGUUACAGAGGCUAUUGGUUGGUUGGGAUCCUUCAUCUGACCCUACUGGUCCUGCUAAUGUAUUCAACCAAUGGAGGAACCUACUGAGGGAAUCAGAUUAUUCAUCAGCAGUUCCUCCUGAGCCUGAUAAGAUGGAUAAUUACGACAGAUUAGUUUGGGAGAUUUGGUUGCCAAAGUUUCGAUCAGUUUUAUCAUCAUGGUCACCAAAAUCUAAUGUAUGU
Molecule: long non-coding RNA, 346 nt
Organism: Amphimedon queenslandica
Lineage: Eukaryota; Metazoa; Porifera; Demospongiae; Haplosclerida; Niphatidae
Exons: 4
Source: RefSeq, a predicted model, not a curated record